AACGAACGCUGGCGGCAUGCCUAACACAUGCAAGUCGAACGAGACCUUCUGGUCUAGUGGCGCACGGGUGCGUAACGCGUGGGAACCUUCCCUUAGGUUCGGAAUAACUCCCCGAAAGGGGUGCUAAUACCGGAUAAUGUCUUCGGACCAAAGAUUUAUCUCCUUUGGAUGGGCCCGCGUGGGAUUAGCUAGUUGGUAGGGUAAAAGCCUACCAAGGCUACGAUCCAUAGCUGGUCUGAGAGGAUGAUCAGCCACACUGGGACUGAGACACGGCCCAGACUCCUACGGGAGGCAGCAGUGGGGAAUAUUGGACAAUGGGCGAAAGACUGAUCCAGCAAUGCCGCGUGAGUGAUGAAGGCGUUAGGAUUGUAAAGCUCUUUUACCCGGGAUGAUAAUGACAGUACCGGGAGAAUAAGCGCCGGCUAACUACGUG
RNAcentral lists this ribosomal RNA (433 nucleotides) under uncultured bacterium. RNAcentral describes it as "partial 16S ribosomal RNA". It matches the Rfam family "Bacterial small subunit ribosomal RNA", at positions 29 to 507 of the family's 1533-position model. The record is from RNAcentral.